This 330-nucleotide ribosomal RNA is filed under the name uncultured bacterium. Its description in RNAcentral is "bacterial SSU rRNA". It matches the Rfam family "Bacterial small subunit ribosomal RNA", at positions 568 to 898 of the family's 1533-position model. The record is from RNAcentral.
CGUGUAGGCGGCUGUUCAAGUUGGGCGUGAAAGCCUUGGGCUUAACCCAAGAAAUGCGCUCAAUACUGGAUAGCUAGAGGACCGGAGAGGAUAGUGGAAUUCCCAGUGUAGUGGUGAAAUACGUAGAGAUUGGGAAGAACACCAGUGGCGAAGGCGGCUAUCUGGACGGUUUCUGACGCUAAGACGCGAAAGCGUGGGGAGCAAACAGGAUUAGAUACCCUGGUAGUCCACGCCGUAAACGAUGGGUGCUAGACGUUGGCGAGCUUGCUCGUCAGUGUCGCAGCUAACGCAUUAAGCACCCCGCCUGGGGAGUACGGCCGCAAGGUUGAA